Molecule: ribosomal RNA, 593 nt
Filed under: uncultured Fusobacterium sp.
Lineage: Bacteria; Fusobacteriati; Fusobacteriota; Fusobacteriia; Fusobacteriales; Fusobacteriaceae
Description: bacterial SSU rRNA
Rfam family: Bacterial small subunit ribosomal RNA
Source: RNAcentral
GAUGAACGCUGACAGAAUGCUUAACACAUGCAAGUCAACUUGAAUUUGGGUUUUUAACUUAGAUUUGGGUGGCGGACGGGUAAGUAACGCGUAAAGAACUUGCCUCACAGCUAGGGACAACAUUUAGAAAUGAAUGCUAAUACCUGAUAUUAUGAUUUUAAGGCAUCUUAGAAUUAUGAAAGCUAUAAGCACUGUGAGAGAGCUUUGCGUCCCAUUAGCUAGUUGGAGAGGUAACAGCUCACCAAGGCGAUGAUGGGUAGCCGGCCUGAGAGGGUGAACGGCCACAAGGGGACUGAGACACGGCCCUUACUCCUACGGGAGGCAGCAGUGGGGAAUAUUGGACAAUGGACCGAGAGUCUGAUCCAGCAAUUCUGUGUGCACGAUGAAGUUUUUCGGAAUGUAAAGUGCUUUCAGUUGGGAAGAAAAAAAUGACGGUACCAACAGAAGAAGUGACGGCUAAAUACGUGCCAGCAGCCGCGGUAAUACGUAUGUCACGAGCGUUAUCCGGAUUUAUUGGGCGUAAAGCGCGUCUAGGUGGGUUAUGUAAGUCUGAAUGAAAAUGUAAGGCUUAAGAUAUGUAUUUUUUUGGAGAC